GUGUCUUUUGGAGAGAGGUAGAUCUGCACACCAAGGAUGGUUGGAUGCGCAAGGCUGCCAAACUGGCAAUGCACCCGAGACUUGGCAGAGCAACGUAGGCCUGACACCAAAGACUAGCAAAAAACUUUCAGGAAAAAGUCUGUAGCCAUGAAAGGAGGCUUAAAAGUCCCAUUACAACUGCAAAUACUAAUGAGAACAGCCAAGCUUGCCCCAUAUGUGGGUCAUAUGAGACUGUGUGGGUUAUACGUGGGUCAUAUGUGGCACUGGCGCCACGAGGAGUUAUCAACUUGAAAGCACUCACAACUUCCAUCCAACCUUCUUUUCUCACUGUAAUUGUAGUAUUGUCCUUGUUUCCUGGCUUGGAGGAGGUAAGCCAGCCUUUGAAAUAUUAGAGGAAAAGAUUUUCUUCCCUGUAGAAUCCCAACUGCAUUACUGCAUGGUAUCACUGUUCCCAGGACAAGAUGUGGUCCAUCUUUCCAUAACAUCCAUCCUUGGCCAGGCACAGGUAAACACAACUGGCUGACAGAGAAGCCAUGAUCUGAAAUUUUCCUUUUUAAUUUCAUUCCACAGCAUCUAAAUGCAUAUUUUGGGGGAUGCUUUAAUUGCUGAGAAGCCCGUGAGUCAUGAGCUCCUUAACAGGCUUUAGAUUUCUAGAUGAGAAACUACUCUGUCGAUUCCCUCGUACUUCGGUGGGGACGGCUAGGGGCAAGCGGCCGAAGUGACCGUGUCUGUGACGGGGGCACGGAGCCCUGGCCGUGGGGGGCUGCGGCAGGCCCGCCGGCACACCUGGCCCCGGAGCAGGCACUGUCUCCGCGUCCUCUCAGCUGCGAGCUACUGGAGCUUUAUUUUAAGGCCGACGCGCUGCCGGGAAUUGCCCCCGCCCGGCUGGCCGGGCUCCCGCGGCCGCGCACCCCCGGGCCCGCCGCGACCGCACCGUGCGGUCGAGCCGCAGCCGCCGCCGCCCGCAGCAGGGCUCGGGCUCCCGUGCCGGCGGAGGGGCGGACGCGGGGGGCGGGAACGCGCGGCACCGCCCCGGCCCCGGCGCCGCCGGGAGCCGGGAUCCGGCAGAUCCGGGUCUCGUGGCGAGGGCUGACGUGUGAGCCGGCCCGAGCAGCGGGGCCGCGCCGCGGGGCCGCCCCUGCCCGCCCGGCCCCCGCCCCGCAGCCCUCCCUGACGGCGGCCGGAGCACGGUGUUCACAGACAAGUUCAAGUUUAUCCAGAGAACCAUGGCAGAAGGUGGAUUUGAUCCCUGUGAAUGCAUUUGCUCACAUGAACAUGCAAUGAGAAGACUGAUUAAUCUGUGCCAGGACCAAACUCAUCCAGUGACAAUGGCAUCAGCUUCGCCAUGAUAAUGAUGGCAUGGGUCGUGAUUGCACUUGUCUUGUUCUUACUGAGACCAAAUAAUCUAAGAGGAUCAAACACAGCCGGAAAGCCAACCAGCCAACAUAAUGGACAAGAACCACCAGCCCCACCAGUGGACUAGAGCGUUCAGUAUUGGAAAAGUUCAGCAGCUAAAACCUUGCAUGACCAAAUGAACGAAGUGACCAGAUUACUCCUAACACCCAUUCAAUACUGUUUUCUUUUCUCAUUUGUAUAGAGCAGAAUUAUCAUUCAGCAAUCUUCAUGAGCUGCUUUUAGCAACUUCAAUUUUUUAAGUUAAUUUUUGCUUUGUAUGUUAUUACAAUUCCUAGUAGAUUGUAAUUUGAAUAAUGAUAAGGCAUUGUGGGGGUUUUUUGGUUGUUACUGUUACUACGGACGUUCCACUCAGUCUCUUUCUGUUACAGUGAUCUUAAUUUCUUUGAUGUGAUUUUUGAUAUUCAUUGAAAGAAAAAGAAAAUCCCAGUGCAUCUAUAAUAAUGGAGGGUUACUGACCUUUCUUCAGAUUAAUUCAUAUUUCUUCUCCAGUAUGCUUUUGAGAGUUAUAUUAUGGUUGGAAGCAUUAACUUAGUUAUGUGGUGAAAAAUAGAAAUUAUUUUAUAUUUGCCCUGGGUUCGGAGCAACUUUUAGUCUGGUCUUUGGACCACUAACAUAGUUUUCAGGGUUGUUGGCAAAAGCACAGAUUGUCCACUAGAAUUAUAAUCUUUCUCUGUGUGCGCACAUAAGUGAAUGUGACAAUUGCCACUGUCAAAGCUUUGACCUAUAUAUUGGGAACUUUACACAGAAGAUUAUACCACCAAAAAAACAUUAAUUUAGUCUUGUUCAUAUAUAUAUCUUAUUCAAUAUGUUGUCAAAAAACAUAUUCUAAAACCAGAUGUGUUUACUUAUAGACUUUAUGAAAAGAGAAAUUUAGUAAGAAGAACUUGGUAGAAUUUUUUGUCCUGGUAUAGUCUUUUAAUAAUUAGUACCUUAACAAGUUUUUAGCCAUGACGUAAUGUAUAUUGGACAGGAUGAAAUCAUACCAAGGAGUUACCAAGGUUACCAACUUUUGGUAUACAACAUGUUCUGAAUUAUUCAGGUUUUUUCACCUGUGUGUUGUCAGCAGUUCUUAACAUUUCAUCCUUAUCUACUAGUUGUAAUUGUAGAAUAACAAACUCGCAGAUGACCACAUAUGGCAUGUCUUUUCCCUCUGACGUUUGAGUGUGUGUGUGGUGUGUUUAUGUGUGUGUAUGUGUGGCUGUGCACACACCUGUGCACGUCCCAUUGUAGCAAAUGGGAAUGAGUUUUUUUAUGUACAUUAAUUUAAAAACAUUUUAAAGAUGUACAGAAAAGCGACACUGUAUAUUUUUCUUGUUCAAUUUGAAAAAUUGAUGAGAAUAAUGUAAAGAACAUUUUUAUGCUACCAACAUGAAGCUUCUUUCCUUAAAGGUCAGUAGAACAGACAUAUGGAAAUUCAAAGCCUUACUCUACAAACCUUUAUUCCAUGAGGACUGUAGUUACGGAGCUGAAGGGACUAACUGUUAAAGUGCAAAAAGGUUUGUAUUAACAGGCUCUAACAAAAAUCUUGCACCAGAUCCCAUGGUUGACAGAUACACGGUUUUCCUCCUCAGGGUUAAUGGUGGGCCAGCUAAGCCUCCUGGUAAAGGUACAGUGUAGACUUGAAAAAAGGCUUCUGUGAUUUGGUGUAAUUGACCUUUGAAUUUCUGUGAAAUAGUAUGCUCCUAAGCAUAGGAGCAUGUAUAAAAAAUUAAGUAAAAAAAAAAAAGAUUGGGCCAUGUGCUCUCUUUGACAUCAGUGCAGUGCCACGUAAAGUAAUGAAACCGCAGCAGAGAAGCUGAGAGAAUUUGUCCUGUUAUGUCUAAUAGUGUACAGGCCACAAACACUGUGUAAAGAUGUCACUGGGACAAGCACUCUGACUGUGCUUGCUUUUUGCCUUCCAUGUACAUUUAUAUUUGGGAUACUAUUUUGAUCAGAACAAGUAAUACAGCAUCAUUUUGUUGAACCAACAAGGAAACAUAUAUAAUCUCCAACAGUGACCUUUUCUCCAAGGAUUUUUGGCCAGAAUUCUUCACUAUUGGAGGCAUAAAACAAGUUUCCAAUUGAUUAAAAAGCCAACUGAAACAUGCUUCUAUUCAGACAGAGCACCACUCCUCAUCCUGUUGGAAGUUGGUGAGAUUUACAGGAGAUGCUCCUCACUUGUGAGGAUCAGUCUUCCUUUACUUAAAUGUCUGUGUACGUAUUUAUAAAACUCACCAUUUGCACCCAGCUCUAAGAGUCUUGGCAACUGAACUUUUUGUUCAGAGGAAUGUUGUGUUUUACGUUUAAAUGAAGUAUCUUUGCUUGAUUCCUCUAAGUAAUUGUCCCAGUGAUUUUAUACAUGUAUGCUUUCCUCAUGUAAAUUGCUAUUUUAAAAUUUUCUAUGUAAAAGAAAAAAAAUUGGAAAUAUUUUAUUGUAAAGUGUUUUACUAAAGAGCCAGGCCACUAUCCCACAUCAAAACAUAUGCCUUUUAAAUUCAGAUACUGUCUUCAAGAUAAAACCUGCAGAUCACCACUCUUAAUUAAAAUAAAAGUGACUAACCUUAGGACUGUACUUUGCCACUCUUAUUUGGGUUAAAUGGUGCCUUACUCAUCAAGUAGUUGCACUGAAGUUUGUGGGACUACUCUGAGGUAAAGUACUAGUAGCAGCUUUAGUAAGGGUGGCAGAAAUCUGGCCUUUAGUUAUAUAAUUUGCAAUUAAAUAAUUGUAUCAUGGUUACAGAUGUUUAUGGUAAAUUUUGAGAAGUGUGGAAGAGAUUAGUGGUAUGAAAAGCUCCAAGAUACAAUCAGUUCUGUAAUGAUGGUUUUAAGCUUGGUUAGUAAAAGAUGCAAGUUGUAGCAACUUGGGAAAUAGGGAGGGAAGUUUACAAUUAUACCUUAGCUUAGAACUUUGUUAAAACAAUAGUAUUUUUAGAGUCUGCUUAACACAGUUAUUAUACUCUGAAAUGAGAAAUCAUAUGUAUUCAUGUAUUGUCUACAGAUCACUUAGCCUUGUAAUAUCCAUGAUUGAAGAAGGAAGAGUGAUGAUGUCAUGUACUUAAUGUAAAUCAGUGGUUUAAAAUAUCUGAAUUAUGCCAAACAAAAAAUCAUCUGUGCCAUUUGCGGUUUCCUAGUAAUCUUUUACUGAGUACUUGGAUUGGGGUAAAGGGCUUGUACUAUGCACUUUUUAUUGACCUAACAAAAUAAAUAGCAAUCAUUAGUAAA
RNA transcript from Pseudopipra pipra, 4617 nucleotides. It is a transcript of the gene named small integral membrane protein 14, with no coding region annotated. The transcript is spliced from 4 exons. The record is from RefSeq and is a predicted model, not a curated record. NCBI's taxonomy places the organism in Eukaryota, Metazoa, Chordata, Aves, Passeriformes, Pipridae.